This 461-nucleotide ribosomal RNA is filed under the name uncultured bacterium. RNAcentral describes it as "partial 16S ribosomal RNA". It matches the Rfam family "Bacterial small subunit ribosomal RNA", at positions 339 to 795 of the family's 1533-position model. The record is from RNAcentral.
CUACGGGUUGCUGCAGACGAGAAUCUUCCGCAAUGGACGAAAGUCUGACGGAGCGACGCCGCGUGCGGGAUGAAGGCCUUCGGGCUGUAAACCGCUGUCAGUGGGGAGGAAAUGCAUCAGGGUUCUCCCUGGUGUUUGACCGAUCCGCAGAGGAAGCGCAGGCUAAGUUCGUGCCAGCAGCCGCGGUGACACGAACUGCGCGAACGUUAUUCGGAAUCACUGGGCUUAAAGAGUUCGUAGGCGGCCUUUCAAGUCGGGUGUGAAAUCCCUCGGCUCAACCGAGGAAUUGCGCCUGAUACUGUGGGGCUUGAGGGGGAUAGGGGUGAGCGGAACUGAUGGUGGAGCGGUGAAAUGCGUUGAUAUCAUCAGGAACACCGGUGGCGAAGGCGGCUCACUGGAUCUCUUCUGACGCUGUGGAACGAAAGCUAGGGGAGCGAACGGGAUUAGAUACCCUUGUAGUC